AAGUCGUAACAAGGUUUCCGUAGGUGAACCUGCGGAAGGAUCAUUAGUGAUUGGCGAAAGCCUUUACCUUUCAUACACCUGUGCACCGUGGUCUUCGGACCUUUUACAAACAAAUAGUUAAGAACGUAAAACAUUAUAAUAAAUAAAA
Molecule: unclassified non-coding RNA, 148 nt
Filed under: plant metagenome
Description: partial contains small subunit ribosomal RNA and internal transcribed spacer 1
Rfam family: Eukaryotic small subunit ribosomal RNA (bases 1-46)
Source: RNAcentral